AGUGAACGCUGGCGGUAGGCCUAACACAUGCAAGUCGAACGGCAGCACAGUAAGAGCUUGCUCUUACGGGUGGCGAGUGGCGGACGGGUGAGGAAUACAUCGGAAUCUACUUUUUCGUGGGGGAUAACGUAGGGAAACUUACGCUAAUACCGCAUACGACCUACGGGUGAAAGCAGGGGAUCUUCGGACCUUGCGCGAUUGAAUGAGCCGAUGUCGGAUUAGCUAGUUGGCGGGGUAAAGGCCCACCAAGGCGACGAUCCGUAGCUGGUCUGAGAGGAUGAUCAGCCACACUGGAACUGAGACACGGUCCAGACUCCUACGGGAGGCAGCAGUGGGGAAUAUUAGACAAUGGGCGCAAGCCUGAUCCAGCCAUACCGCGUGGGUGAAGAAGGCCUUCGGGUUGUAAAGCCCUUUUGUUGGGAAAGAAAAGCAGCAGGUUAAUACCCCGCUGUUCUGACGGUACCCAAAGAACAAGCACCGGCUAACUUCGUG
RNAcentral lists this ribosomal RNA (492 nucleotides) under uncultured bacterium. Its description in RNAcentral is "partial 16S ribosomal RNA". It matches the Rfam family "Bacterial small subunit ribosomal RNA", at positions 29 to 507 of the family's 1533-position model. The record is from RNAcentral.